Molecule: ribosomal RNA, 578 nt
Filed under: uncultured Ascomycota
Lineage: Eukaryota; Fungi; Ascomycota
Description: eukaryotic LSU rRNA
Rfam family: 5.8S ribosomal RNA (bases 208-361)
Source: RNAcentral
CUUGGUCAUUUAGAGGAAGUAAAAGUCGUAACAAGGUUUCCGUAGGUGAACCUGCGGAAGGAUCAUUACCUAGAGUUGUAGGCUUUGCCUGCUAUCUCUUACCCAUGUCUUUUGAGUACCUUCGUUUCCUCGGCGGGUUCGCCCGCCGAUUGGACAAUUUAAACCAUUUGCAGUUGCAAUCAGCGUCUGAAAAAACAUAAUAGUUACAACUUUCAACAACGGAUCUCUUGGUUCUGGCAUCGAUGAAGAACGCAGCGAAAUGCGAUAAGUAGUGUGAAUUGCAGAAUUCAGUGAAUCAUCGAAUCUUUGAACGCACAUUGCGCCCCUUGGUAUUCCAUGGGGCAUGCCUGUUCGAGCGUCAUUUGUACCUUCAAGCUCUGCUUGGUGUUGGGUGUUUGUCUCGCCUCUGCGCGUAGACUCGCCUCAAAACAAUUGGCAGCCGGCGUAUUGAUUUCGGAGCGCAGUACAUCUCGCGCUUUGCAUUCAGAACGACGACGUCCAAAAGUACAUUUUUACACUCUUGACCUCGGAUCAGGUAGGGAUACCCGCUGAACUUAAGCAUAUCAAUAAGCGGAGGA